RNAcentral lists this long non-coding RNA (331 nucleotides) under Linum usitatissimum (flax). Its description in RNAcentral is "long non-coding RNA (LUSI_LNC003233)". Lineage: Eukaryota; Viridiplantae; Streptophyta; Magnoliopsida; Malpighiales; Linaceae. The record is from RNAcentral.
GAGGAAGUUAUCCGAAGUACAAGAAUUCGCAGGGGGAGAUUGCAGUUAUUGUAAAGAGCUACUCGGGCCCUAUUCAGACCUCCUGCAAUUUCCGGCUUUUAUAGAGAUCCAUAUUCAGCUUGGUCUGGUAUGAACAGUGUAGAAGGAAUGCUAACGAAGAAUCCAACUCUGCUCUUAACUCUGCUCUUAACAUCACUAGGAAAAAAUGUCGAGAUACUCGUGUAUAUAGCAAUAGAUAAAAGGCGUUCAUAGGUCCUCUAUUUUUGGUUCAUUUUUGUGUCAAUAGGCUAUAGAGAAGGUGGGGAGAUUAUGUACUGGCACUCUAUGGGUG